UCCGGUCAAGCCAACUUGGUGGAGGCACGUGGCUGUUAACCAUGGUACGACAGGUUCGAAACCUGUGGCCGGAGC
This 75-nucleotide transfer RNA is filed under the name Rhizobium phage RHph_I1_18. RNAcentral's name for it is "tRNA-Asn". It matches the Rfam family "tRNA". From Rfam's summary of the family: Transfer RNA (tRNA) molecules are approximately 80 nucleotides in length. Lineage: Duplodnaviria; Heunggongvirae; Uroviricota; Caudoviricetes. The record is from RNAcentral.